Molecule: ribosomal RNA, 464 nt
Filed under: uncultured bacterium
Lineage: Bacteria
Description: bacterial SSU rRNA
Rfam family: Bacterial small subunit ribosomal RNA
Source: RNAcentral
GACGAACGCUGGCGGCGUGCCUAACACAUGCAAGUCGAACGGAGGUUAGUGCUUCGGUAUAACCUUAGUGGCGAACGGGUGAGUAACGCGUGAGGAACCUGCCUUUCAGUGGGGGACAACAGUUGGAAACGACUGCUAAUACCGCAUAAAGUUAUUUAAGGGCAUCCUUGAAUAACCAAAGAUUUAUUGCUGAAAGAUGGUCUCGCGUCUGAUUAGCUGGUUGGCGGGGUAACGGCCCACCAAGGCGACGAUCAGUAGCCGGUCUGAGAGGAUGAACGGCCACAUUGGGACUGAGAUACGGCCCAGACUCCUACGGGAGGCAGCAGUGGGGAAUAUUGGGCAAUGGGGGAAACCCUGACCCAGCAACGCCGCGUGAAGGAAGAAGGCCUUCGGGUUGUAAACUUCUUUUACCAGGGACGAAGAAAGUGACGGUACCUGGAGAAAAAGCAACGGCUAACUACGUG